CAGUCGCCGCGGUAAUACGAGGGGGGCAAGCGUUGUUCGGAUUUACUGGGCGUAAAGGGUGCGUAGGCGGUUUGGCAAGUCUUGUGUGAAAUCUUCGGGCUCAACCCGAAGCCUGCACGAGAAACUACCGGGCUUGAGUAUUGGAGAGGUGAGUGGAAUUUCCGGUGUAGCGGUGAAAUGCGUAGAUAUCGGAAGGAACACCUGUAGCGAAAGCGGCUCACUGGACAAUAACUGACGCUGAUGCGCGAAAGCUAGGGGAGCAAACAGGAUUAGAUACCCCGGUAGUCCCUGUCUCUUAUAC
Molecule: ribosomal RNA, 301 nt
Filed under: uncultured bacterium
Lineage: Bacteria
Description: partial 16S ribosomal RNA
Rfam family: Bacterial small subunit ribosomal RNA
Source: RNAcentral